GGGGAAUAUUGGUCAAUGGACGCAAGUCUGAACCAGCCACGUCGCGUGAAGGAAGACGGCCCUACGGGUUGUAAACUUCUUUUAUACGGGAAUAAAGUGCCCCACGCGUGGGGUUUUGCAAGUACCGUACGAAUAAGGAUCGGCUAACUCCGUGCCAGCAGCCGCGGUAAUACGGAGGAUCCGAGCGUUAUCCGGAUUUAUUGGGUUUAAAGGGUGCUCAGGCGGGCUAUUAAGUCAGCUGUGAAAGUUUACGGCUCAACCGUGAAAUUGCAGUUGCACCUGGUCGUCUUGAGUGCAGUAAAGGUGGGCGGCAUUCGUGGUGUAGCGGUGAAAUGCUUAGAUAUCACGAAGACCUCCAAUUGCGAAGGCAGCUCACUGGAGUGUAACUGACGCUGAUGCUCGAAAGUGUGGGUAUCCAACC
This 421-nucleotide ribosomal RNA is filed under the name uncultured Bacteroidales bacterium. Its description in RNAcentral is "bacterial SSU rRNA". It matches the Rfam family "Bacterial small subunit ribosomal RNA", at positions 356 to 774 of the family's 1533-position model. The record is from RNAcentral. Lineage: Bacteria; Pseudomonadati; Bacteroidota; Bacteroidia; Bacteroidales.